RNAcentral lists this long non-coding RNA (1503 nucleotides) under Macaca mulatta (Rhesus monkey). RNAcentral describes it as "lncRNA (ENSMMUG00000060088.1)". Lineage: Eukaryota; Metazoa; Chordata; Mammalia; Primates; Cercopithecidae. The record is from RNAcentral.
AUGAUUAAAAAAUUAUUUCAGAGAAUACUAACAGUGGGGUCCAUGAGAAAUCAGCAGUCCUGUUCACCUACUCAGUUACCCUUUGCAUCAGGACUAGACUUGAAAACAGAAGGAAUUAGAAUGAGGUGGAGAAGGAAGAGAGCGGAAGUAGGGAGACCAUGGAGUCAGUCAUCACUCAGCAAAGGUAUGGGGAACCCAAACACACUUGUGGCAAUAAAAAAAAGAGUGAGAAGCAAGAUAAAUUUCCAUGGUAGAUUUUUCUUUUUUAUCUCUUUAGACAAAUGAAGGAAAACACAGGGUGAGGGAGAAAGGUAUCAAAGAAGACUAUGUGAUUUUGAGACUGAAUAAUGGAGAACUGUUAUUCUAUUAACACAAAUAGUAAAGUAAUGUAGAGAUAUUGCUUUUGAUGGGAAUAAUGAGUUAGAGUUUUUCAUGUAUUGAACAAUGAUUUUAGUUCUCCUGGGGGCCUUCUUGAGCCUUCUAUGUCAUUCAGAUAUAAAAGGAUGAGAGGCCAAACUUACAGAGAAUGCAAAUGGGCAAUAAACGUACAAAAGACUUCAGCCUCAUUGGUAAUCAUGUAAAUGCAAGUUUUUUUUAAAAGAAUAUAUUAUUUUCCAGCCUAUUACAUAAAGGUUGAGAAAACAAACUAGACAAACUACUCAGCAAUAAACUUAAGAAAAACAUAGGAUUUGUAAGAAGAAAUCUAAAAGGUCUAUUGAAAGACAAAGAAAGUUGGAAAUAAAUAGAAAUAACAUAUACUUGAAUAGAAAGUUUUAAUAUUUUAAAAAAGAAAAUUGCCCCCACAUUUCUGUUUUAUGUUUUUGUUUUUGUUUUGUGAUGGGGUUUCACUCUCACCCAAGCUGGAGUGCGGUGGCACGAUCCUUCUUCACUGCAACCUCCGCCUCCCAGGCUCAAGCGAUCCUCCCACCUUAGCCUCCUGUGUAGCUGGGACCACAGGUGCGUGCUAUCAUGCCUGGCUAAUUUUUUUGUAUCUGUGGUAAUAACGGGGUUUCACCAGGUUGCCCAGACUGUUCUCAAACUCCUGGGCUCAAGCAGUCGGCCCAUCUCAGCCUCCUAAAGUGCUAGGAUUUUAGGAAUGAGGCACCGCACCCUGCCCUGCGAUUAUAAGCUUAACUCAGUCACAGUCAAAAGUUGACAAAAUGAGUUUAAAAGCACCUGGAUAUUUUAUUAAGUGAAAUAAAAUAACCAGGUUGCAGAACACUGUGUAUAGCAUGCUAUGAUUGCUGUAAAGAAAGGAAAAAUCUCACACACACACACACACACACACUGUCCUGGGAAGGGAAGGGAAAUGGGCAACCAAAGGAGAGACAGACAUCUCAUUUCAUCCCCUUUCCUAUUUCUGAGUUUGAAAAUGUAAAUACAUUAUAUAUCAAAAUUAAUGAAAUCAAUGAAGAGGAAUAGUUAGACCAUUUUUUUUUAAAGAGGAAUAAUUGAGGCCGGGUGCAGUGGCUCACACCUGUAAUCCUAGCACUUUGGGAGGCC